AGAGUUUGAUCAUGGCUCAGGAUGAACGCUGGCGGCGUGCCUAAUACAUGCAAGUCGAACGCAUUACUUCGGUAGUGAGUGGCGAACGGGUGAGUAACACGUAGGUAACUUACCUCUAAGACGAGGAUAACGACUGGAAACGGUCGCUAAAACUGGAUAGGAUCAUUUGAGGCAUCUCGAAUGAUUUAAAGGGGCUUUCAAGCCACACUUAGAGAAAGGCCUGCGGCGCAUUAGCUAGUUGGUGGGGUAGAGGCCUACCAAGGCGAUGAUGCGUAGCCGGACUGAGAGGUCGAACGGCCACAUUGGGACUGAGACACGGCCCAAACUCCUACGGGAGGCAGCAGUAGGGAAUUUUCCGCAAUGGACGAAAGUCUGACGGAGCAACGCCGCGUGAGUGAAGAAGGUUUUUCCGGAUCGUAAAACUCUGUUGUCAGAGAAGAACAAGUUGGAGAGUAACUGCUCCAGCCUUGACGGUAUCUGACCAGAAAGCCACGGCUAACUACGUGCCAGCAGCGGC
Molecule: ribosomal RNA, 517 nt
Filed under: uncultured bacterium
Lineage: Bacteria
Description: bacterial SSU rRNA
Rfam family: Bacterial small subunit ribosomal RNA
Source: RNAcentral